GUGAGGGGAAGAUGGAGUGUGAGUUUGGCUGGAGAAUCCAGCGGUGGUUUGGGCAUCUGCCGAUGCCGCCAGAUCUUGGGACGCGGAAGGAGGAAAGGAAAUGCUGGAGACUAGGGAGCAACUUGCUUCAGUCCUCGUUGUGGUUCAGCCUGCAGAGACACCAACUCUGUUGCCUGCCUGCUACCCCCUCCAGCAUGUCAGUGCUGAGCCCUCACUGUGGAGCAGCGGCGUUGAAAGUGCUGGAAACUGGCCUCACUCGCCCGUCGGACGCAAGACAGUUGAGAAGUGGAGGGACGACGUCCAAAGCACACAAGUGGGGCAAAUGAAAGCCAUUUGUUUUAGAAAAUAAGUCUUCAUUAUGUCAACCCAUAAUAAAGUCAUAAAACAACCAAA
Molecule: long non-coding RNA, 393 nt
Organism: Gasterosteus aculeatus aculeatus (three-spined stickleback)
Lineage: Eukaryota; Metazoa; Chordata; Actinopteri; Perciformes; Gasterosteidae
Source: Ensembl